GCAGGUAUAGCUCAAUGGCAGAGCUCCAGCUUCCCAAGCUGGCUAUGCGGGUUCGAUUCCCGUUACCUGCU
Molecule: transfer RNA, 71 nt
Filed under: Thermobrachium celere DSM 8682
Lineage: Bacteria; Bacillati; Bacillota; Clostridia; Eubacteriales; Clostridiaceae
Rfam family: tRNA
About the family: Transfer RNA (tRNA) molecules are approximately 80 nucleotides in length. Their secondary structure includes four short double-helical elements and three loops (D, anti-codon, and T loops).
Source: Rfam by way of RNAcentral